Molecule: ribosomal RNA, 253 nt
Filed under: uncultured prokaryote
Description: partial 16S ribosomal RNA
Rfam family: Bacterial small subunit ribosomal RNA
Source: RNAcentral
ACGGGGGGAGCAAGCGUUGUUCGGAAUCACUGGGCGUAAAGGGCGUGUAGGCGGUUAGGUUAGUGGGAUGUGAAAUGCCCCGGCUCACCCGGGGACCUGCAUCCCAAACUGCCCGACUUGAGUAUGGGAGAGGAUGAGGGAAUUCCUGGUGUAGCGGUGAAAUGCGUAGAUAUCAGGAGGAACACCGGUGGUGUAGACGGCUCUCUGGACCGUAACUGACGCUGAGACACGAAAGCGUGGGUAGCAAACAGGA